AUGGCGUCCACGGCUGCGGCGGCGCUCGCGGUCACGGACGAGCUGGCCCUGCCGCUCCGCGCGGUGGGGGACCUGGCGGCGGCCGCCGGGGUCUCGCGGGAGGAGGUCGUCGUCAUCACGCAGUGCGCCUCGCUCGGUGGGAAGUUGCCUUUUGAUGAUGCAUCGGUGGGUGCUGUUCUAUCUGUCAUAAAAAAUGUGGAGAGCUUUGGGGAUAAGUUGGUUGCUGAAAUUAGCCGAGUGCUGAAAGCUGGUGGAAUUGUGCUGGUACAGAGCUUCACACCCUCUGCUGAUCAGAAGCCAAACAAUUAUAUCGAGCGCCAGCUACUCAUGGGUGGUUUUGUUGAAGUGCAAGCUUCUGCCACAAGCUCGCAGGAUAGUGUGCAAUCUGUUACUAUCAAGGCAAAGAAGCCCUCCUGGAGUAUGGGUUCUUCCUUCCCCCUGAAGAAAGCAGUAAAGGCUCUUCCAAAGAUUGAAAUUGACGAUGAUGAUGAACUGAUUGACGAAGACAGCCUCUUGACUGAGGAGGACUUGAAGAAGCCACAGCUUCCAGUUGUAGGAGAUUGUGAGGUGGGAGCUACAAAGAAGGCGUGCAAGAACUGCAGUUGUGGCAGGGCCGAGGCUGAGCAGAAGGUGGAGAAGCUGGGGCUCACUGCAGAACAGAUUGAUAACCCUGUCUCAGCUUGUGGCAGUUGUGGGUUGGGCGAUGCGUUCCGAUGCAGCACCUGCCCAUACAGAGGCCUGGCGCCGUUCAAGUUGGGCGAGAAGGUUACCUUGUCUGACAACUUCCUCUCAGCCGACAUAUGA
This 804-nucleotide ribosomal RNA is filed under the name Triticum aestivum (bread wheat). Its description in RNAcentral is "partial small subunit ribosomal RNA". The record is from RNAcentral. Lineage: Eukaryota; Viridiplantae; Streptophyta; Magnoliopsida; Poales; Poaceae.